GUGAGUAACACGUGAGUAACCUACCCUGUACAACGGGAUAACACAAAGAAAUUUGUGCUAAUACCGUAUAAGACCCCACUACCGCCUGGUAGAGAGGUAAAAGCGAAAUAGCGGUACAGGAUGGACUCGCGCCCCAUUAGCUAGUUGGUAAGAUAACAGCUUACCAAGGCAAUGAUGGGUAGCCGACUUGAGAGAGUGAUCGGCCACACUGGAACUGAGACACGGUCCAGACUCCUACGGGAGGCAGCAGUGGGGAAUAUUGGGCAAUGGAGGCAACUCUGACCCAGCAAUGCCGCGUGAGUGAAGAAGGUUUUCGGAUUGUAAAGCUCUUUGAUUAGGGAUGAAGAAAGUGACAUUACCUAAAGAACAAGCCCCGGCUAACUACGUGCCAGCAGCCGCGGUAACACGUAGGGGGCAAGCGUUGUCCGGAAUUACUGGGCGUAAAGGGUGUGUAGGCGGUCUAUCAAGUUAGAAGUGUAAUCCCCAGGGCUCAACCCGGGUGCUGCUUCUAAAACUGGUAGACUUGAGUGCAGGAGAGAGUAGUGGAAUUCCUAGUGUAG
This 560-nucleotide ribosomal RNA is filed under the name uncultured bacterium. Its description in RNAcentral is "bacterial SSU rRNA". It matches the Rfam family "Bacterial small subunit ribosomal RNA", at positions 106 to 678 of the family's 1533-position model. The record is from RNAcentral.